RNAcentral lists this ribosomal RNA (447 nucleotides) under uncultured bacterium. RNAcentral describes it as "bacterial SSU rRNA". It matches the Rfam family "Bacterial small subunit ribosomal RNA", at positions 330 to 794 of the family's 1533-position model. The record is from RNAcentral.
CCCAGACUCCUACGGGAGGCAGCAGUGGGGAAUAUUGCACAAUGGGGGAAACCCUGAUGCAGCGACGCCGCGUGAGCGAUGAAGUAUUUCGGUAUGUAAAGCUCUAUCAGCAGGGAAGAAAAUGACGGUACCUGACUAAGAAGCCCCGGCUAACUACGUGCCAGCAGCCGCGGUAAUACGUAGGGGGCAAGCGUUAUCCGGAAUUACUGGGUGUAAAGGGAGCGUAGACGGUGAAGUAAGUCUGGAGUGAAAGGCGGGGGCCCAACCCCCGGACUGCUCUGGAAACUAUUUGACUGGAGUGCAGGAGAGGUAAGCGGAAUUCCUAGUGUAGCGGUGAAAUGCGUAGAUAUUAGGAGGAACACCAGUGGCGAAGGCGGCUUACUGGACUGUAACUGACGUUGAGGCUCGAAAGCGUGGGGAGCAAACAGGAUUAGAUACCCGCGUAAA